GCCGAGGUGACGGAGUCUGGUUACGUACCCGCCUGCAGAGCGGGUUAUAGGGGUUCAAAUCCCCUCCUCGGCU
RNAcentral lists this transfer RNA (73 nucleotides) under Nitrososphaerales archaeon. RNAcentral's name for it is "tRNA-Cys". It matches the Rfam family "tRNA". Rfam says of the family: Transfer RNA (tRNA) molecules are approximately 80 nucleotides in length. Their secondary structure includes four short double-helical elements and three loops (D, anti-codon, and T loops). Lineage: Archaea; Thermoproteati; Nitrososphaerota; Nitrososphaeria; Nitrososphaerales. The record is from RNAcentral.